ACGCUUACACGGUUUAUAUUUUUGCGUAGCAGUGUACAUCACUUUCUAUAUUGGUGACAUGCUUGGAGUUGAUUGUCUUUGGGUGCAAAGGAAUAAUUAAGAGGGAAACAUUUCAUGAUGGCCACAUAGAAUUAAGAGUAUGUACGUCCAUAAUUUGCAUCCAUGAAAAACAGUCGAUGACUUCAACCUGUUCGACAGCGUAGAUUAGACUGAUAUCAGCAACUGAACUUGUCGACGAGUUUCGUGCCGCCGCCGGUCAUGUUGGAGACGAAGAUCCGAGUACCCAAUGGAAGGGAAGCGGGCAAAAAGGAUGAAGUUUAUGAUCGUACCGACGGAGCCUGCUUAUACUGCGUAGCUCAGAUACAACCCCUCGCUAAGUCAAGCACAAGAUGUAACCGGGACUGGAAUUCUACCUCUGAUUCAAAGCUUCUGACAGACGAAGAGGAAGAAGAAGCAAGCUUUUCAGCUAAUGUAGUGUCUCAAG
Molecule: long non-coding RNA, 484 nt
Organism: Strongylocentrotus purpuratus (purple sea urchin)
Lineage: Eukaryota; Metazoa; Echinodermata; Echinoidea; Camarodonta; Strongylocentrotidae
Exons: 3
Source: RefSeq, a predicted model, not a curated record